UUUCCGUAGGUGAACCUGCGGAAGGAUCAUUAAAGAGAAUAUGCCCUUCGGGGUAGAUCUCCCACCCUUUGUUUAUAUUACCUUUGUUGCUUUGGCAGGCCCGUCUUCGGAUCACCGGCUUCGGCUGGUCAGUGCUUGCCAGAGGACCCAAAACUCUUAUUAUUAAUGUCGUCUGAGUACUAUAUAAUAGUUAAAACUUUCAACAACGGAUCUCUUGGUUCUG
RNAcentral lists this unclassified non-coding RNA (223 nucleotides) under plant metagenome. RNAcentral describes it as "partial contains small subunit ribosomal RNA, internal transcribed spacer 1, and 5.8S ribosomal RNA". The record is from RNAcentral.